Molecule: ribosomal RNA, 2523 nt
Filed under: Triticum aestivum (bread wheat)
Lineage: Eukaryota; Viridiplantae; Streptophyta; Magnoliopsida; Poales; Poaceae
Description: partial small subunit ribosomal RNA
Source: RNAcentral
AUGGGGAAGAAGAGAAAGCAUGGGGAGAACGGGACGACAAGCAAGCCAAGAGAUGAGAUGCCUCUCAAGAGGUCUUCAGAUGCCUCCCCUUAUUCCUUAUCUGACGCGCUCAGGGAGAUUAGUAAACACAUACAGGUAAAAGAGAACACGGAUGAAUCGGUCCAAAAGCUUGAGCAAAGGGUGCAGCAGCUAGAAGACAAGGUAGAAGUGAAGACGGAUGAUUUGGUCCGAGAGCUUCAGAAUAGGGUGGAAAAGCUAGAGGAUAAGGUGGAAACAAAUGAAGUUCAAGAGAAAGAACGGGUAAGCAAAAUUAAGGAAGAUCUCAGGAAAGAGCUGAACGAGUUUAAGGAAGAUCUCAGGAAAGAGCUCAACAACUAUAAGGAAGAGUUAAGGAAUGAAUUGGAAAACAUUGAGAACAGAAGUAGCCAAUGUUUCAGCGUGUUGAAACAAGAUUUCAAGAAAGAGCUAGAAGUGAAGGACGAGCCCAGCUUAGGGAUCCAAGAGGAAGGAUGGGCCAAAGUACAUCAUUUAAAUGAAUCUCCAUCCCUGAGAUCACAACCACAUCAAAGCGAGACAACAAGAUUUAAACUGAAAAUUGAGAAUAAGGUGGAUCAGGUUGUUUACAAAGGGAAACCUAUACGGACUGAUGAUUCUGAACAUAUAACAGUAGUAUUGUACGAUGGUGACAAUCAAAUUGCACCUGAUCAUCACCUUGCCUCAGCAGUAGUUCAGCUAGUUGUCGUUGAUGGAGAGUUUAAUGAACCUGAGGGAUUUUGGUCCAAAGAUGAUUUUGAAAAAAGAAAAACGAUGCCACGACAAGGGAGUAACCCAAACCUAGUGAAGAACGGCAGGUUUAAACUGGCUGGUGGGAAGUGUCGUCAUAAAGGCGUCAUUAUUACGGACAACUCUAACCGCAGGGAAUUUAUGCUUGGAGUGAUGAUCGUCGGGGAUACAGACGAACGAGUUCUUGGAGGAUUAUCAAAUACUUUCAGAGUGCAGGAAGCAAAGACAGAAAAGGAUCGUGCAAAGCGUAAUAAUGAUGAUAGCAGAGAGGAUUUACUAAGAUAUACAACCGGACAAGUACACAUGCCUAAUAAAAACGGGCAAGGUCAGCGAUUUAGUCUUCAACAAACAAGGCCAAAUUUACCCAGCAUGGCCAACCCACCAUUUCAUCAAGAAUGUAUGGUUCAGGCAGCGAAUAAGAGGCAUAGUUCAGGUUUAGUGGGUUCUCUUAUGGCCAAUGGUAUACCUCAGCAGGGCACCAAUCAACUGGAAAAUCGUGGGCAAGUUCAGCAAUUUCAAACAACAGGGCAAGGUCAGCACUAUCAAACAGGGUCAGUAGUCAGCUUCAUGGAGAAUCAAUCACAAAUAACAUACGGCCCUACAGCGGGAAAUGGUUCAGUUCGUCCACCUUUCGACAACUUACAGCUGUAUCCUGCUCAACAGAGCGCCCAACUGAAAAAUUAUGGGCAAGGUCGGCAACAUAAUAAUGUUCUACGGCCAAUGUGCACUUUCGCCGUCGGCCCAUCGCAAGGUGGUAAUGGUGUUCAACUGGAAAAUCAUGGAAAUAGUUCGGUUGAGCCAGUUCCGGUGGGCCAUUUACAACAGUACCCUACUCAACAAAGCACCGUGCAGUUGGGUAAUCAUGGACAAGGUCGGCAACGUAAUAGUGGUAUGCCAACAACACAAGUCAAUUCCGUUUUCAUGUCGAACCUGCCGCAACAGAACACUACUCAACAGGGUGUGCAACCCAAAAGAAAUGAUUCUGUUGAUCCACAUCCGGUCGAGCAUGUACAGCAGUACCCUACUCAACAAGGCAUCAAUCAACAGGAAAAUUGUGGUCGGCAGCAUCAUAGUGUUACUCGACCUUUCACAUUCGCUCACGAAGCAGCAGGAAAUGGUGCAGGCCGUGAACUUGUAGUAGAGCGUGUACCACAACAGAACGCUACUCAACAGGGUGUUCAAGUGGAUAUUCAUGGGCAAAGUCGGCAACAUAAUUCUGUUACACAAACUUUCGCCGUCCUGCCGUCGCAAACACUCGCUAACGCAGCAGCAGGAAAUGGUGCAGGCGGUGAACUUGUAGUUGAGGAUAUAUUGCAACAGAACACUACUCAACAGGGUGUUCAACUGGAUAAUCAUAGAUCGGAUCUGGGGUUGGGUCUCGGUUUAUCAACUCACAAUAUCCCUACCGGCCCUUCUGCUGGCGAUUUGCAUGACAACUAUAUGGAUGAGACUCUGCGCCACCUCCAUGAUAAUCUACUCGCCCCUGAUGACCCCGGAUACCUUGGACUUCUCAGCCAUGCAGAGGCAGCCGAUCAGGGAGGGCCUUCUGCAGGCACUCGACAAUGGAGCACCAACCAGCUGCAUGCUGGUUAUUCUGCUGGCAUGCACUUGUCCGGGUUUCGCCCUCAAACUGAAGAUGGUGGAUCUACUGUCUCUGGUCUACGUACUGCUGCACCAGCUCCAGAGGGCACCCAGAUGGAUUUCACCCAGCCUACGGUUAUGGCACCAUGGGAGCCAUGA